CNACCUGCCGAUGACUCGGGGAUAGCCUUUCGAAAGAAAGAUUAAUACCCGAUGGCAUAGUUCUUCNNCAUGGUGGAACUAUUAAAGAAUUUCGGUCAUCGAUGGGGAUGCGUUCCAUUAGGUUGUUGGCGGGGUAACGGCCCACCAAGCCUUCGAUGGAUAGGGGUUCUGAGAGGAAGGUCCCCCACAUUGGAACUGAGACACGGUCCAAACUCCUACGGGAGGCAGCAGUGAGGAAUAUUGGUCAAUGGACGAGAGUCUGAACCAGCCAAGUAGCGUGAAGGAUGACUGCCCUAUGGGUUGUAACCUUCUUUUAUACGGGAAUAAAGUGAGGCACGUGUGCCUUUUUGUAUGUACCGUAUGAAUAAGGAUCGGCUAACUCCGUGCCAGCAGCCGCGGUAAUACGGAGGAUCCGAGCGUUAUCCGGAUUUAUUGGGUUUAAAGGGAGCGUAGGCGGACGCUUAAGUCAGUUGUGAAAGUUUGCGGCUCAACCGUAAAAUUGCAGUUGAUACUGGGUGUCUUGAGUACAGUAGAGGCAGGCGGAAUUCGUGGUGUAGCGGUGAAAUGCUUAGAUAUCACGAAGAACUCCGAUUG
RNAcentral lists this ribosomal RNA (594 nucleotides) under uncultured Bacteroidota bacterium. RNAcentral's name for it is "bacterial SSU rRNA". It matches the Rfam family "Bacterial small subunit ribosomal RNA", at positions 122 to 715 of the family's 1533-position model. Lineage: Bacteria; Pseudomonadati; Bacteroidota. The record is from RNAcentral.